GCCUGGGUGGCUCAGUCAGUUGAGCAUCUGACUUUGGCUCAGGUCAGGAUCUCGCAGUUCGUGAGUUUGAGCCCCGCAUCAGGCU
Molecule: transfer RNA, 85 nt
Filed under: Felis catus (domestic cat)
Lineage: Eukaryota; Metazoa; Chordata; Mammalia; Carnivora; Felidae
Rfam family: tRNA
About the family: Transfer RNA (tRNA) molecules are approximately 80 nucleotides in length. Their secondary structure includes four short double-helical elements and three loops (D, anti-codon, and T loops).
Source: Rfam by way of RNAcentral